AUACGGAGGAUCCAAGCGUUAUCCGGAUUUAUUGGGUUUAAAGGGUGCGCAGGCGGGAGAUUAAGUCGGCGGUGAAAUUUUGCAGCUCAACUGUAAAAGUGCCUUUGAAACUGGGUUUCUUGAGUAUGGAUGAAGUAGGCGGAAUUUGUGGUGUAGCGGUGAAAUGCAUAGAUAUCACGAGGAACUCCGAUUGCGCAGGCAGCUUACUAAGCCAUAACCGACGCUCAUGCACGAAGGCGUGGGGAUCAAACAGGAUUAGAUACCCUGGUAGUCCACGCAGUAAACGAUGAUUACUCGCUGUUUGCGAUACAAUGUAAGCGGCUAAGCGAAAGCAUUAAGUAAUCCACCUGGGGAGUACGUUCGCAAGAAUGAAACUCAAAUGAAUUGACGGGG
RNAcentral lists this ribosomal RNA (393 nucleotides) under uncultured bacterium. RNAcentral's name for it is "partial 16S ribosomal RNA". It matches the Rfam family "Bacterial small subunit ribosomal RNA", at positions 523 to 918 of the family's 1533-position model. The record is from RNAcentral.